AAUAAGUUUUUACACCAUUCAUAUAUUUAACGUUUGAUCCUUCGUCUUAUUUAAAAACUUUUAAUAAUUAAUAUUUUUAUUAUUAUUAGAUAAUAAAACACAAAUAGAACUUUAUGUGCAACUAACUUUUUUUAUUUUUUUUUAUAAAUCUUUUAAAUAAGAUGGACGAUCAAAUGUUGGACACGGAUUUCCACGACUACACUUAUU
This is a non-coding RNA of Oryza meridionalis, 207 nucleotides long. The record is from Rfam. NCBI's taxonomy places the organism in Eukaryota, Viridiplantae, Streptophyta, Magnoliopsida, Poales, Poaceae.